UAAUAAGUGUUUUAUGGCACUUUUUAAAUCCAUAUCCACCUUGUGUGCAAUGUCAGUCGAUCUUCUUCAUGGAGAUCGACCAAACAUCAACCUUUAUUUUUUAACUCUUCGUCUGAAAAAUAUUAUGAAUAAACAAUUCAAAAUA
Molecule: unclassified non-coding RNA, 145 nt
Filed under: soil metagenome
Description: partial internal transcribed spacer 1
Source: RNAcentral